UACGGAGGAUGCAAGCGUUAUCCGGAAUGAUUGGGCGUAAAGCGUCCGUAGGUGGUGAUGUAAGUCUGUGGUUAAAGCGUGGGGCUCAACCCCAUAAAGGCCAUGGAAACUACAUAACUUGAGUGAAGUAGGGGUAGAGGGAAUUCCCAGUGUAGCGGUGAAAUGCGUAGAGAUUGGGAAGAACACCGGUGGCGAAAGCGCUCUACUGGACUUAAACUGACACUGAGGGACGAAAGCUAGGGGAGCGAAAGGG
Molecule: ribosomal RNA, 253 nt
Filed under: uncultured bacterium
Lineage: Bacteria
Description: partial 16S ribosomal RNA
Rfam family: Bacterial small subunit ribosomal RNA
Source: RNAcentral